GGAUCAUUGAAGAGUUGCAAGACUCCAACCAUCGCGAACAUUUACAACGUUGCCUCGGCGGGCGGCUCCAGGGCGGAGCCUCCGGCCCCCUUCGGGGGGUGUCCGCCGUAAGGCCCCAAACACUACUGAAGCCAGGCUACUCUGAGUAUAUGGAUACACUUAAAACUUUCAACAAUGGAUCUCUUGGCUCUGGCAUCGAUGAAGAACGCAGCGAAAUGCGAUAAGUAAUGCGAAUUGCAGAAUCCAGCGAGUCAUCGAAUCUUUGAACGCACAUUGCGCCCGCUAGUAUUCUAGCGGGCAUGCCUGUCCGAGCGUCACUCAUAACCGUCGAGCCUAGCUCGUGUUGGGGCACUACGUCCUCGUAGGCCCUGAAAUCUAGUGGCGGGAUCGCCCCCGCGCCGAGUUUAGAACACCACUAGCUGCGGCGCGCCGGCGGCCUCUGCUUCAGCGUUUUAGCUAGAUGACCUCGGAUCAGGUAGGAAUACCCGCUGAACUUAAGCAUAUCAAUAAGCGGAGGAAAAGAAACCAACAGGGAUUGCCUCAGUAACGGCGAGUGAAGCGGCAAUAGCUCAAAUUUGAAAUCUGGCCCCCGGGCCCGAGUUGUAAUUUGCAGAGGAUGCUUCGGGCGAGGCGCCUUCCGAGUCCCCUGGAAUGGGGCGCCGGAGAGGGUGAGAGCCCCGUACGGUUGGACGCCGAGCCCGCGUGAAGCUCCUUCGACGAGUCGAGUAGUUUGGGAAUGCUGCUCAAAAUGGGAGGUAAAUGCCUUCUAAAGCUAAAUACCGGCCAGAGACCGAUAGCGUACAAGUAGAGUGAUCGAAAGAUGAAAAGCACUUUGGAAAGAGGGUUAAACAGCACGUGAAAUUGUUGAAAGGGAAGCGCCCGUGACCAGACUCGGGCGUGGCGGAUCACCCGGCGUGCUCGCCGGUGCACUCCGCUGCGCCUGGGCCAGCACCGGCUCCAGCGGGGGGAUAAAGGGCUGGGAAAUGUGGCUCCCUCGGGAGAAUGAUAGUCCCAUCCGGCAUGCCCCCGCCAGGGUCGGGACCGCG
This 1046-nucleotide ribosomal RNA is filed under the name fungal sp. F308. RNAcentral describes it as "eukaryotic LSU rRNA". The stretch from base 462 to 1046 matches the Rfam family "Eukaryotic large subunit ribosomal RNA", at positions 1 to 596 of the family's 3401-position model. The record is from RNAcentral. Lineage: Eukaryota; Fungi.